Long non-coding RNA from Gallus gallus (chicken), 492 nucleotides. RefSeq lists it as uncharacterized. The record is from RefSeq and is a predicted model, not a curated record. Lineage: Eukaryota; Metazoa; Chordata; Aves; Galliformes; Phasianidae. The transcript has 5 exons.
CCCUGGUUCUCCUUUUUGUCCUUUCUCAAGCCGAAUGUUAAUGCUGCCACCACCUCCUGGAAGCCCUCUUUCACCUUUGAACCGAACAUACAUAAUACUUUGUCCCAUGACCCAAUGAGUCUGCAGCGGAAGGGAAUCUCUCUAGUUUGUUGUCGCCGCUGGAUGAGGUUAUCCUCCCAGAACUGAAUGCAGCAGAAAAACAAGUGGCUUCUGCUUUGUACCUUCAAAUGCCUCUUCUCCUUCUCCUCGUUAUCUGUCCAGACAUCAGUUUAUUCAGUUGGUCCUUAUAUAGAGCCAAGUCAUCUAUAUCAUCUCCUUUACAACUUUUUGAAGUUGUGAACAGGAUUUUUGAGCACAACGCUACAGAUACAGAUCCUUCCCUUGUGGAGUUUUCCCUUCGAGCCUAGAUCUUCAGAGACAGCCUGAGUCAUUUGUGUUAACACUCCAACUGGAAACAACACUGGCCUUUCACAACCAGGCAACGUUCAAAAG